AUUUAAAGCAAAAUUAUAAAGAUUAAUUAUAUAAUAUUUUAAUUGUAUAAGUAGAUUGUCAUGAAAUUAAAAGUUGAGUACUACAUUUCUUUAAAGAAAAAGAUAUAAAAGUUAAUUUUAUUAAAAGUAAGGGAACUUAAGGUAAUUUAGCUUUUAUUUUUGUUUAAAGAACUAUUAUACCCCUAAUCUUUUUCAAAAUCUCAAGGGGGCCCAAUGCCCCUCUUGGCCCCUUAGUGGCUCCGUCCCUGGUUACUUACCAAUGUAGCAUAAUUCCA
This 275-nucleotide unclassified non-coding RNA is filed under the name Hevea brasiliensis (rubber tree). The record is from RNAcentral. Lineage: Eukaryota; Viridiplantae; Streptophyta; Magnoliopsida; Malpighiales; Euphorbiaceae.